GCACUGCUGAGGAGUCCCACACUAGGACGAAACGGCCGUUCAAUGC
RNAcentral lists this non-coding RNA (46 nucleotides) under Schistosoma margrebowiei. Lineage: Eukaryota; Metazoa; Platyhelminthes; Trematoda; Strigeidida; Schistosomatidae. The record is from RNAcentral.